CAGCAGUAGCCACGGUAAUACGAAGGGUGCAAGCGUUAAUCGGAAUUACUGGGCGUAAGGCGUGCGUAGGCGGUUUGUUAAGUCUGUUGUGAAAUCCCCGGGCUCAACCUGGGAAUGGCAAUGGAUACUGGCAAGCUAGAGUGUGUCAGAGGAUGGUGGAAUUCCCGGUGUAGCGGUGAAAUGCGUAGAGAUCGGGAGGAACAUCAGUGGCGAAGGCGGCCAUCUGGGACAACACUGACGCUGAGGCACGAAAGCGUGGGGAGCAAACAGGAUUAGAUACCCCCGUAGUCCCUGUCUCUUAUAC
Molecule: ribosomal RNA, 304 nt
Filed under: uncultured bacterium
Lineage: Bacteria
Description: partial 16S ribosomal RNA
Rfam family: Bacterial small subunit ribosomal RNA
Source: RNAcentral